UACGUAGGGGGCAAGCGUUGUCCGGAUUUACUGGGCGUAAAGAGCGUGUAGGCGGCCAGGCAGGUCUGUUGUGAAAACUGGAGGCUUAACCUCCAGACGUCGACAGAAACCGCUUGGCUAGAGUCCGGAAGAGGAGAGUGGAAUUCCUGGUGUAGCGGUGAAAUGCGCAGAUAUCAGGAAGAACACCAAUGGCGAAUGCAGCUCUCUGGGACGGUACUGACGCUGAGACGCGAAAGCGUGGGGAGCGAACAGG
RNAcentral lists this ribosomal RNA (253 nucleotides) under uncultured bacterium. RNAcentral describes it as "partial 16S ribosomal RNA". It matches the Rfam family "Bacterial small subunit ribosomal RNA", at positions 524 to 776 of the family's 1533-position model. The record is from RNAcentral.